RNAcentral lists this ribosomal RNA (1367 nucleotides) under metagenome. Its description in RNAcentral is "bacterial LSU rRNA". It matches the Rfam family "Bacterial large subunit ribosomal RNA", at positions 1539 to 2925 of the family's 2925-position model. The record is from RNAcentral.
AAUCCGGGUGGCAAUGGGAAGCUGUGAUGCGGAGCGAAAUACAAGUAGCGAAGUCAGUGAGCCAUGCGUCAAGAAAAGCCGCUAUUGUUUAUACCGUACCCGUACCGUAAACCGACACAGGUGGAUGAGGAGAGAAUCCUAAGGCCGGCGGAAGAAGCAUUGUCAAGGAACUCGGCAAAAUGACCCCGUAACUUCGGGAGAAGGGGUGCCACUGAGAAGUGGCCGCAGAGAAUAGGCUCAAGCAACUGUUUAGCAAAAACACAGGUCUAUGCGAAACCGAAAGGUGAGGUAUAUGGGCUGACGCCUGCCCGGUGCUGGAAGGUUAAGAGGAGAGGUUAGCGGAAACGCGAAGCUUUGAAUUUAAGCCCCAGUAAACGGCGGCCGUAACAAUAACGGUCCUAAGGUAGCGAAAUUCCUUGUCGGGUAAGUUCCGACCCGCACGAAAGGCGUAAUGAUUUGAGCGCUGUCUCGACAAUGCAUCCGGUGAAAUUGAAGUACCAGUGAAGAUGCUGGUUACCUGCGCCAGGACGGAAAGACCCCAUGGAGCUUUACUCCAGUUUGGUACUGGGGUCCGGUAUUGCAUGUACAGGAUAGGUGGGAGGCUAGGAAGCAGCAACGCCAGUUGCUGCGGAGCCGCUGUUGGGAUACCACCCUUGCAGUACUGGGCUUCUAACCAGCCGCCGUGAACCGGCGGUGGGACAAUGCCAGACGGGGAGUUUGACUGGGGCGGUCGCCUCCGAAAGGGUAUCGGAGGCGCCCAAAGGUUCCCUCAGAAUGGACGGAAACCAUUCGAAGAGUGCAAAGGCAGAAGGGAGCUUGACUGCGACACCGACGGGUGGAGCAGGUACGAAAGUAGGGCUUAGUGAUCCGGUGGUAUUAAGUGGGAAUGCCAUCGCUCAACGGAUAAAAGCUACCCUGGAUAACAGGCUUAUCACUCCCAAGAGUUCACAUCGACGGAGUGGUUUGGCACCUCGAUGUCGGCUCAUCGCAUCCUGGGGCUGUAGUAGGUCCCAAGGGUUGGGCUUUCGCCCAUUAAAGCGGUACGCGAGCUGGGCUCAGAACGUCGUGAGACAGUUCGGUCCCUAUCCGGCGUGGGCGUAGGAUAUCUGAGAGGAGCUGUCCUUAGUACGAGAGGACCGGGAUGGACGGACCGCUGGUGUACCGGUUAGACUGCCAAGUCUACGGCCGGGUAGCCAAGUCCGGAAGGGAUAAACGCUGAAGGCAUCUAAGCGUGAAGCCCCCCUCAAGAUGAGAUGUCCCAUUCGAAAGAAGUAAACCCCCCUGAAGACGACGAGGUAGAUAGGGCAGGGGUGGAAGUGUGGCAACACAUGGAGCUGACUGUUACUAAUAGGGUGAGGGCUUGACCG